RNAcentral lists this ribosomal RNA (508 nucleotides) under uncultured Bacteroidales bacterium. RNAcentral describes it as "partial 16S ribosomal RNA". Lineage: Bacteria; Pseudomonadati; Bacteroidota; Bacteroidia; Bacteroidales. The record is from RNAcentral.
CACGGAGUUAGCCGAUGCUUUUUCUUCGGAUACACGCAGUCCGGGACACGUCCCGGGUUUUGUUCUCCGACAAAAGAGGUUUACAACCCAUAGGGCCGUCUUCCCUCACGCGGCUUGGCUGGUUCAGGAUCUCUCCCAUUGACCAAUAUUCCUCACUGCUGUCUCCCGUAGGAGUCUGGUCCGUGUCUCAGUACCAGUGUGGGGGACCUUCCUCUCAGAACCCCUACGCAUCGUCGCCACGGUGGGCCGUUACCCCCGCCGUCAAGCUAAUGCGCCGCAUGCCCAUCCUCUUCCGAUGAAUCUUUCCUCGAUCUCGGAUGCCCGAAACCGAUAUACGCGGGAUUAGCCUCCCUUUCGGAAGGUUGUCCCCCUGAAGAGGGCAGGUUGCAUACGUGUUACUCACCCGUGCGCCGGUCGCCGGCAAGGAAGCAAGCUUCCCUCCGAUGCCCCUCGACUUGCAUGUGUUAAGCCUGCCGCUAGCGUUCAUCCUGAGCCAGGAUCAAACUCU